GCCUAAGACAUGCAAGUCGAACGAGAAGACCUUUGGAAGACUGAGUGCUUGCACAAAGUUAGAAGAAGAUCAUCUUCUAGUGGCAGACGGGUGAGUAACACGUGGGUAACCUACCUUCAAGCUGGGGAUAACAGUUGGAAACGACUGCUAAUACCGAAUAAGAUAUAUAGCAAUAUAUAUUGAAAGAAGCCUUUAAAGCUUCACUUAAAGAUGGGCCUGCGGCGUAUUAACUAGUUGGUGAGGUAAUGGCUCACCAAGGUGACGAUGCGUAGCCGAACUGAGAGGUUGAACGGCCACACUGGGACUGAGACACGGCCCAGACUCCUACGGGAGACAGCAGUUAGGAAUAUUCGUCAAUGGGGGAAACCCUGAACGAGCAAUGCCGCGUGAGUGAUGAAGGCCCUAUGGGUUGUAAAACUCUGUUGUAUGGGAAGAACGGCUAUAUUAGGAAAUGAAUAUAGAGUGACGGUACCAUACCAGAAAGCUCCGGCUAACUACGUG
RNAcentral lists this ribosomal RNA (501 nucleotides) under uncultured bacterium. Its description in RNAcentral is "bacterial SSU rRNA". It matches the Rfam family "Bacterial small subunit ribosomal RNA", at positions 46 to 507 of the family's 1533-position model. The record is from RNAcentral.